GGCCAAUGAAGUAUGCAGAGAUUAUUUCAGCCGAAGAAUGGGAUAACUUUGUCGCCAAACGAAGAAACGAAAAAUUCCAUGAAGUAAGCGAUAAAAAUCGGAAAAGGGCAUCAAAACCCGCGUAUCCGUACAAAAAAGGGCGUACGGGAUAUGCACGGUUACAACAAAGAAUUCUAGCCGAGGAGAAAAGUGACGCAACAUCUCUUCCGGAGCACGUAUUGUGGAAGGCUGCUCGGGUUGGGAAGGAUGGGGCUGUCGUUGAAGCGGUUCAAAAUGUUUAUGACGAAUGUG
This is a long non-coding RNA of Lathyrus oleraceus (garden pea), 291 nucleotides long. RefSeq lists it as uncharacterized. NCBI's taxonomy places the organism in Eukaryota, Viridiplantae, Streptophyta, Magnoliopsida, Fabales, Fabaceae. The record is from RefSeq and is a predicted model, not a curated record. The transcript has 3 exons.